UUGAAUUAGUACCGGGGACAACAGCGAUAUUGAUAGCUCCAUAGAGAAUGGCCCCGAUAGAGUUAAAAGGAUUGAAAGCUUAGUUCCAAGAGUUAACAGAUAAAGGUUUUGCUAGACCGAGUUUCUCUCCCUCGGGUGCACUGGUGUUAUUUGUGAAAAUAAAAGAUGGCACGAUGAGAAUGUGUAUUAACUACAUGCAGC
RNAcentral lists this long non-coding RNA (201 nucleotides) under Gossypium barbadense (sea-island cotton). RNAcentral describes it as "long non-coding RNA (GBAR_LNC004580)". Lineage: Eukaryota; Viridiplantae; Streptophyta; Magnoliopsida; Malvales; Malvaceae. The record is from RNAcentral.